CCUACGGGAGGCAGCAGUGGGGAAUAUUGCACAAUGGGGGAAACCCUGAUGCAGCGACGCCGCGUGAAGGAAGAAGUAUUUCGGUAUGUAAACUUCUAUCAGCAGGGAAGAAAAUGACGGUACCUGACUAAGAAGCCCCGGCUAACUACGUGCCAGCAGCCGCGGUAAUACGUAGGGGGCAAGCGUUAUCCGGAUUUACUGGGUGUAAAGGGAGCGUAGGCGGUUUAGCAAGUCAGAAGUGAAAGCCCGGGGCUCAACUCCGGGACUGCUUUUGAAACUGUUGGACUAGAUUGCAGGAGAGGUAAGCGGAAUACCUGGUGUAGCGGUGAACUGCAGAGAUAUUAGGAAGAACACCAGUUGCGAAGGCGGCUUGCCGGAAUGUAAAUGACGCUGAGGCUCGAAAGCGUGGGCAGCGAACAGGAUUAGAUACCCGUGUAGUC
This 440-nucleotide ribosomal RNA is filed under the name uncultured bacterium. RNAcentral describes it as "partial 16S ribosomal RNA". It matches the Rfam family "Bacterial small subunit ribosomal RNA", at positions 338 to 795 of the family's 1533-position model. The record is from RNAcentral.